GUGCUGGUAGCUCAGCUGGAUAGAGCAACUGCCUUCUAAGCAGUAGGUCGUGGGUCCGAAUCCCACCCAGCAUA
RNAcentral lists this transfer RNA (74 nucleotides) under candidate division TM6 bacterium GW2011_GWF2_28_16. RNAcentral describes it as "tRNA-Arg". It matches the Rfam family "tRNA". From Rfam's summary of the family: Transfer RNA (tRNA) molecules are approximately 80 nucleotides in length. RNAcentral also lists the same sequence under 2 other names. The record is from RNAcentral.